UUAAGACGCGGAGUUAAGAGGAACAGAAGAAGAAAGAAAGAAGUUUGAGAGGUUCUUCCUCUGAUGUUCGGCUCACGAUCAACAAUGCAAAACUCACAAAGUCAACAAAAGAUCCACGUAUCUAUUUGCAACAUGAACAUAAAUACUGCUGUUCCCUUUGCUAAUACAAGCUACAGAACCAUUUAGCACAAACUGCUAUGGUUCAACAUAACGAUGCCUCUGAAUGU
Molecule: long non-coding RNA, 227 nt
Organism: Xiphophorus hellerii (green swordtail)
Lineage: Eukaryota; Metazoa; Chordata; Actinopteri; Cyprinodontiformes; Poeciliidae
Exons: 3
Source: RefSeq, a predicted model, not a curated record